Molecule: ribosomal RNA, 484 nt
Filed under: uncultured bacterium
Lineage: Bacteria
Description: partial 16S ribosomal RNA
Rfam family: Bacterial small subunit ribosomal RNA
Source: RNAcentral
AUUGAACGCUGGCGGCAGGCCUAACACAUGCAAGUCGAGCGGAUGAAGGGAGCUUGCUCCUGGAUUCAGCGGCGGACGGGUGGGUAAUGACUAGGAAUCUGCCUGGUCGUGGGGGAUAACGUCAGGAAACGGGAGCUAAUACCGCAUACGUCCUGAGGGAGUAAGUGGGGGCUCUUCGGACCUCACGCUAUUUGAUGAGCUUAGGUCGGAUUAGCCAGUUGGUGGGGUAAAGGCUUACCAAGCCGACGACCCGUAACUGGUCGGAGAGGAUGACCAGUCAACCUGGAACGAAGACACGCCCCGGCUCCCUAGGGGGGGCGCCAUAGGGGAAUAUUGGACAUGGGGCGAAGUCUUGAUCCAGACAUGCCGCGUGUGUGAAGAAGGUCUUCGGAUUGUAAAGCACUUUAAGUUGGGAGGAAGAGUAGUAGGUUAAUACCUUGAUGUUGUGACGUUACCAACAGAGAAAGGACCGGCUAACUUCGUG